UACGGGGGUGGCAAGCGUUGUUCGGAAUUACUGGGCGUAAAGGGCGCGUAGGCGGCAUUACAAGUCAGAUGUGAAAUCCCUGGGCUUAACUCAGGAAUUGCAUCUGAAACUGUUUUGCUUGAGUCCUGGAGGGGGUAGUGGAAUUCCCAGUGUAGCGGUGAAAUGCGUAGAUAUUGGGAGGAACACCUGCGGCGAAGGCGGCUACCUGGACAGUGACUGACGCUGAGGCGCGAAAGCUAGGGAAGCGAACGGG
Molecule: ribosomal RNA, 253 nt
Filed under: uncultured bacterium
Lineage: Bacteria
Description: partial 16S ribosomal RNA
Rfam family: Bacterial small subunit ribosomal RNA
Source: RNAcentral